Molecule: ribosomal RNA, 253 nt
Filed under: uncultured bacterium
Lineage: Bacteria
Description: partial 16S ribosomal RNA
Rfam family: Bacterial small subunit ribosomal RNA
Source: RNAcentral
GACGUAGGGCGCGAGCGUUGUCCGGAUUUAUUGGGCGUAAAGAGCUCGUAGGCGGUUUGUCGCGUCGGCCGUGAAAACUUGGGGCUUAACUCCAAGCUUGCGGUCGAUACGGGCAGACUUGAGUUCGGCAGGGGAGACUGGAAUUCCUGGUGUAGCGGUGAAAUGCGCAGAUAUCAGGAGGAACACCGGUGGCGAAGGCGGGUCUCUGGGCAAUUCCUGACGCUGAGGCGCGAAAGCGUGGGGAGCAAACGGG